AAAGUCGCCCACAGUGCCAACACGGAAUUAUAACAACUCAACAUUUUGGUGUAUUUAUUUUGUGUUAUUUAUUUUUUGUUCUAAUCCUAUACUUAGGUCCUGUAAUUCAGUGCUGUUAAUUACGUUACUAAAACUUUUCUAUCACCCCAAACAGAAAUUCUGUACCAAUUACUCCCCAUUCCCUAUCCCAGAAACUAGAAAAAAGAUGGAAUUUCUGGCCCAAAAUAGGAUGGGGAGAUGUUCUGGGGAGAACCCCAACUUCCCCACCCACACCAAUUAGUCCUGAGCCAUCCUGUGCAAUGCACGUGUCGGUAGAAAUAGUCAAACCUUCCAUGUUGGAGAGGAGCCCCCAAAUUCGAGAACCUCUCUUCUCUGGGCCAGGCUGGGAGCUCUCCCAAACCUCUUUUACUCGCUUGUCAAAAAAAAGCCCAGGGAGGGGACAGCCCUGCGCUCACGCAUUCGGACCUGCAGCUGCUGUCGGGGCCCUGGGCCCGGGACCAGGAGGAGGUGGAUUCCCCUGUGGUUCGCAAGGAUGGGGCCGUGGCCCUGCAAGUAGAGCUCGAGCCUAGCUUUCGGGACACGAGAGGGACACAGGGGCCCAGCAUCUUGGAUGAGGUCCAGUCACCUCUGUUAUUCCCAGUUAGCUAUCAGGAGGCAGAAAUUACUGAAAUUUCUUCCCCUGGAGGCCCUCCAAAGACAAAAGACAUUGGUGUAUGCAACAAUCUGUUGGUUACUUGCUGUGGUAGUUUGGAGGCUGUAUGUACCCAGAAACGAUCACGUUCUUUGAAUCCAUUCCUGUGGGUGCAGACCUGUUGUGGGUGGGAACUUCUGAUUAGGGUGUUUCAGAUGCGGCCUGCUUCAGGGUAGUUUUUAAUCCUCUUACUAGAGUCCUUACUGGAGGAUAAAAGACAGAAAAAGCCCAGAGAAGUUUAGAGAAAAACCCUGGAGAAGCUAAGAGAGGACUCACGGAAAAUGGGGA
Long non-coding RNA from Choloepus didactylus (southern two-toed sloth), 979 nucleotides. RefSeq lists it as uncharacterized. The record is from RefSeq and is a predicted model, not a curated record. The transcript has 3 exons. NCBI's taxonomy places the organism in Eukaryota, Metazoa, Chordata, Mammalia, Pilosa, Megalonychidae.